RNAcentral lists this ribosomal RNA (497 nucleotides) under uncultured bacterium. RNAcentral describes it as "partial 16S ribosomal RNA". It matches the Rfam family "Bacterial small subunit ribosomal RNA", at positions 28 to 507 of the family's 1533-position model. The record is from RNAcentral.
GAUGAACGCUGGCGGUGUGCCUAAUACAUGCAAGUCGAGCGAACAGACGAGGAGCUUACUCCUCUGACGUUAGCGGCGGACGGGUGAGUAACACGUGGAUAACCUACUUAUUUGACUGGGAUAAUUACGGGAAACCGGAGCUAAUACCGGAUAACAUGUUGAACCGCAGGGUUCAACAGAGAAUGACGGUCUUGCUGUCAGUUUUAGAUGGAUCCGCGUCGGAUUGGCUGGUUGGUAAGGUACCGGCUUACCAAGGCAACGAUGCGGAGCCGAACGGGUGGACGGAUCGGCCACAUGAGAGCUGAGACACGCACCAGACUCCUACGGGACGCAGCAGUAGGGAAUCUGACGCAAUAGGCGAGAGCAUGACGGAGCGGCCCGGAGUGAGUGAAGAAGAUCUUCGGAUCGUAAAGCUCUGUUAUUAGGGAAAAACAAAUGUGGAAGGAGAUGUACACGUAGUGACGGUACCUAAUCAGGAAGCCACGGCUAACUACGUG